This 387-nucleotide ribosomal RNA is filed under the name uncultured bacterium. RNAcentral describes it as "bacterial SSU rRNA". It matches the Rfam family "Bacterial small subunit ribosomal RNA", at positions 527 to 916 of the family's 1533-position model. The record is from RNAcentral.
GUAGGGAGCGAGCGUUAUCCGGAUUCAUUGGGCGUAAAGAGCGCGUAUGCGGCCUUUCAAGCGGGAUCUCUAAUCCGAGGGCUCAACCCCCGGCCGGAUCCCGAACUGGGAGGCUCGAGUUCGGUAGAGGCAGGCGGAAUUCCCGGUGUAGCGGUGGAAUGCGCAGAUAUCGGGAAGAACACCGAUGGCGGAGGCAGCCUGCUGGGCCGAAACUGACGCUGAGGCGCGAAAGCUAGGGGAGCGAACAGGAUUAGAUACCCUGGUAGUCCUAGCCGUAAACGAUGGGCGCUAGGUGUGGGGGGCAACGCCCUCCGUGCCGCAGCCAACGCAUUAAGCGCCCCGCCUGGGGAGUACGGCCGCAAGGCUAAAACUCAAAGGAAUUGACGG